Molecule: ribosomal RNA, 253 nt
Filed under: uncultured bacterium
Lineage: Bacteria
Description: partial 16S ribosomal RNA
Rfam family: Bacterial small subunit ribosomal RNA
Source: RNAcentral
UACGAAGGGGGCUAGCGUUGCUCGGAAUCACUGGGCGUAAAGCGCACGUAGGCGGGUCGUUAAGUCGGGGGUGAAAUCCUGGAGCUCAACUCCAGAACUGCCUUCGAUACUGGCGAUCUUGAGUCUGGGAGAGGUGAGUGGAACUCCGAGUGUAGAGGUGAAAUUCGUAGAUAUUCGGAAGAACACCAGUGGCGAAGGCGGCUCACUGGCCCGGUACUGACGCUGAGGUGCGAAAGCCAGGGGAGCAAACGGG